Molecule: non-coding RNA, 613 nt
Organism: Drosophila melanogaster (fruit fly)
Lineage: Eukaryota; Metazoa; Arthropoda; Insecta; Diptera; Drosophilidae
Source: Ensembl
AUAUGGCCUACUAAGUUCAAGUUCAAAGAUAGUUUCGGGUGUUGCUCAACUGCACUUGCACUCCGUAAUUGAAGUCAAGGUCGAAGGUCAAUUGUCGGGGUGCGCACUUAACCUAUUAACGCGAUUAUCAUUGGGUCACACAGCGGUAAAAAAAAGUGUAAAACUUGCGCUGCGCUCAACUAGGGCAUGAAAAAUUCCAUAAAACCUGACGGCUUAAUUGGUGUGACUCAAAAUGGGCAAUUCAAACUGGCGCCUAGAAUAAAUGUUUUUUAAUUAAAAAAAAUAUUACCAUUUAAUAGCACCUAAUGGAAAAAUUUAUUUUCUAUUUAACCAUCAUCAUUCUAUUAAAUCCAACCGCAAAUUGAGCUACUCCUUGAGAAACUGGUCGAUGGGAACUAGUUCGAAUGCCUCGUUGAACAUUCGCAACAUAAGGGGUUGCCAAAACUGUCGAGUCUCAGGCAACAUUAUUCCGUAAAUAUCGCGCCAAUACUGAUUAGCCACAUUCAGAGCGAUUUUAUCUGUAACGAAAAAUAAUCACAAGCGUUAGAAUGUGCAUUAAGUACACAGAAAACACUUCAUAUAAACUGGUUUGCCUUUAGUUUAAUGGAUUUGA